UCUAAAACAUCACUUCUUUCUCCCAACUAGAUCUUCUCAACCUAAUCGGCUACUCGUCUACCGCCGGCCUCUCUCGUCCAAAUCUCUAUUGGUUUAUGAAGAAGAGGGGAGGAGAGAGAGAGAGAUGAAGGCUUCAAGACCUAGCGAUUUGGUUUAUGAAGAAGAGGGGAGGAGAGAGGGAGAUGAAGGCUUCAAGACCUAACGAGAAUGGAUAAAAAUUUACAGCUAGUAACAAUGAGCAGGAAGAACAAUCAACUCAAGUCUUUGAUUCUUCACUUGUAACACAUCCUCCGAUUAGGAUUUCAUCAAAUUCCUCUUUUCUCUCUAAUCUGCAUGCAUUUUCAUUUAUCUUCCACACAAUUGGUUAUGAUUUUUCAAUAUCAAGGAAAAAUUAUGUACAGUUUCUUCCUGUCAUUUUGACUCACUGUAAUUUGCUAGAAUCCAAGUUGGUUGUGGGUAGAGGAAUUCAAGUUUUUGAGAAUGGCGGAAUCACAGUAAUGUAUCUAAUAAAAAGUUAUAGUAAUUGUGGACUCUUUGUUUCUUUUCCAUUAGGCUGGGUUCAUGAUCAAUGAAGAUUUGGGACUAGUAUUUAGUAAUUGUGAAUUCUAUACUUCUAUACAUACUGUCAUUUUUCAAAUUGGCGGUUGCGUGCAACUGCAUAGCUCCUCAAUUUCAGUCCUAUUAUUGCAAUUUUGUUUAGUUUAACAUCAAAGUACUCACUAUUGUGAAUUAGUUACCUUGUUAAGUUAUAUAAAUUGAAAGCAUGUGUAUAAUUAUAUCACAGGAAACACCAUAUGUUGUCCUUGCUGGGCUCGUUUCAGCUUUGAAAGUACUUGGUGGAGCAUUAAUUGACCAAACUUUCUUGUUCCUAGGCUCCAGAGAGGUAGCUUGUUCAUCUUUUAAUAAAUUUAUUUACAAUGCUAGAAUUAUGCAAUUGUAUAAACCACUGAAGGCUGGAACUGGAAUGUUGAGCUUAUUGCACUUGAAAUUUCAAAGAAGUCAUGGGUUGUGCUAGAUGAAGUUCGAAAAAAGAUUUGAGUUGUCGACUCAAAGGCACUUGCACUGAUCUCAUCAAUUUUGACUAGCUUCAUAAUAAUGCACAUUUUCUUUACUACUGCCAUGAACUUGACCAUUUUCACCGGUAAAACUUGUUUGGCUUUAUAUCAGGGACUUGGUCUCACGAACACUGUUAAUAACUGCAACAACCCGGGUUCCACUUGAGCAAGCAGGGCAUGGAUUGACACCAACACCAAUCGCGAAAACUAGAGAAUGAUCAACACUCAGCGGGGCGUUUGCAGGGUAGAGUCUCGAAUUCAAGCUUCUGAGGGAGUCCGUGUAAGAAAUUGUCACUGGCGUGGUGUCCACAAAAGUAAUGCCUAACUGCAUUCACAUAUUUGAUCUUGUAUACUAAAGUUUGCUUGCUAUAGAGUUCAUAACUUGGGAUGGUGAAGAGUUCAUUCAAGCAACAACAUGAACUUGAGAAGAGGCGGGUUGAGGCUGGCCGAAUUCAGGAAAAAUGAUUACGAAUCCCGGCAUGCAUCAGGGAAGGUCCCAGACAUGACUGGACCAUGCCUGAAAUCAAGUCCAUUUACGACUCCCAGCUUCUCGAUCUCCUCUUUCACGGCGCUCAAGUUCAUAGGCAUGGUCUCAACUUCCAAGAGGUACAACAUUGCACUCUUCUAAAUUGAAGUUCUAAAAUUUGACAUGGGAUGGGUCAAUGUGAUCAAUAGAUAUUUAUGCUGAUGGUAUACUUAUUCCAAAUUAGGCAAGACAGGCAAAAGAGGCUGGUAGCACUUGAUUUUGUAUUGGUGCUGCAUGGAGGGAUACUAUAGGAAGGAAAACCAAUUUAAUAUAAUUUUCUGCCUGUGAAGUUGAAACUGAUGCUACAAUUGGUUCUCUGGCAUUAAUUCUUCAAAGGAGAAUUGAUUUUUCCAAUCUCAUGAUUGUAUGUGGGACUUUGAAGAACUUUUCAAAGAGCACUUCAGGAGGCGCGGUUAUUACAUUCUCAAAGCAUGUGAUGCCUAUAUUGAGAAAUUUGCUCCCUUGGAUGAGCAGUGUUUUUUGUACAUUUAUGUAAGCGAGUUGUCAUUACCAAUAGGACAACUUUAAUUACAGCAAAUACAAACUCAUCACUUUUGUAAGUUUUCACUAGUGAAGAGGCCAAAGGGAGCUCCAUACAUCAACCAAGGUGUGGGAUGCGCGGAAAUUAUAUUGCUGAUAAUAGGCAUGGAGAUGAUGAAGGAUUUUGUUCAUGGAGCAUGUAUGAAAUAGAAGGUUUUUGUGAAAGAUCUUUUGAAAUUACACUGACUGACAUGUAUCAGGUAUUAGUAUUUCUUACAGUACUAAAAAAUUUGGAAUUUCUUUACCAUUGUACUCAGUUGACAUUGACCAAUCUGGCUGUUCAUUUAGUCUUAUAAUUAUAGAGUAGUUUUUUUUUUUUUUUUUGAGAUGAGGUUGGCUUAAGUGUUGACAUCCCCUCUUAUAUAUCGUUGUGUAAUUUUCUAUUUGAGAUUCCCAUGUGUAUUAACCUAUUAGAUUUUUGGUUUAGAAGUAUUAU
RNA transcript from Ipomoea nil (Japanese morning glory), 2557 nucleotides. RefSeq lists it as uncharacterized. NCBI's taxonomy places the organism in Eukaryota, Viridiplantae, Streptophyta, Magnoliopsida, Solanales, Convolvulaceae. The transcript has 10 exons. The record is from RefSeq and is a predicted model, not a curated record.